GACGAACGCUGGCGGCGUGCUUAACACAUGCAAGUCGAACGAUGAAGCCGGAGCUUGCUCCGGUGGAUUAGUGGCGAACGGGCGAGUAACACGUGAGCAAUCUGCCCUUGACUCCGGGAUAACUGCGGGAAACUGUAGCUACUACCGGAUACGACACUUUGGGGCAUCUGUGGGUGUGGAAAGAAUUGCGGUCAAGGAUGAGCUCGAGGCCUAUCAGCUAGUUGGUGGGGUAAUGACUCACCAAGGCGACGACGGGUAGCCGGCCUGAGAGGGUGACCGGCCACACUGGAACUGAGACACGGUCCAGACUCCUACGGGAGGCAGCAGUGGGGAAUAUUGCACAAUGGGCGAAAGCCUGAUGCAGCAACGCCGCGUGAGGGAUGAAGGCCUUCGGGUUGUAAACCUCUUUUAGCAGGGAAGAAGCGAAAGUGACGGUACCUGCAGAAAAAGCACCGGCUAACUACGUGCCAGCAGCCGCGGUAA
RNAcentral lists this ribosomal RNA (483 nucleotides) under uncultured bacterium. RNAcentral describes it as "partial 16S ribosomal RNA". It matches the Rfam family "Bacterial small subunit ribosomal RNA", at positions 28 to 523 of the family's 1533-position model. The record is from RNAcentral.